Molecule: non-coding RNA, 114 nt
Filed under: Bacillus massilioanorexius
Lineage: Bacteria; Bacillati; Bacillota; Bacilli; Caryophanales; Bacillaceae
Description: epsC RNA
Rfam family: epsC RNA
Source: RNAcentral
GGUGAGGCUUCCUGUCCGUUAUUAAUGGAGGCACUCGGCUAUGCUGUGGGAUUAUUCUAUGUCCUUAGACACGUUCGUUGUCAGUGGUAUGGUGUGAGGGUGGGUUAGAUGCCC